GGGGUGGUGGCGCAGUUGAUUAGCGCGUAGGUCUCAUAACUGCUUGAGGAAUCCCGAGGUCGAGAGUUCGAGCCUCUCUCACCUUA
Molecule: non-coding RNA, 86 nt
Organism: Picea glauca (white spruce)
Lineage: Eukaryota; Viridiplantae; Streptophyta; Pinopsida; Pinales; Pinaceae
Source: Rfam